GGCUCAGAGCGAACGCGGGCGGCGUGCUUAACACAUGCAAGUCGAGCGAGAAAGGGAGCUUCGGUUCCUGAGUAAAGCGGCGAACGGGUGCGUAACACGUGGGUGAUCUGUCCUUGAGGUGGGGAUAACUCAGCGAAAGCUGGGCUAAUACCCAAUAAGACCACAGAAAGCAAUUUCCGGGGUCAAAGGGUGCUUUUUUUGGGAGCAUCCGUUUGAGGAGGAGCCCGCGACCUAUCAGCUAGUUGGUAGGGUAAUAGCCUACCAAGGCAAAGACGGGUAGCUGGUCUGAGAGGAUGACCAGCCACACGGGGACUGAGACACGGCCCCGACUCCUACGGGAGGCAGCAGUGGGGAAUAUUGGGCAAUGGGGGAAACCCUGACCCAGCGACGCCGCGUGGGUGAUGAAGGCCUUCGGGUCGUAAAGCCUUGUCAGGAGGAACGAAUGUUUUUAGAGUAAAUAGCUCUAAAAAGUGACGGUACCUCUGAAGGAAGCACCGGCCAACUCCGUGCCAGCAGCCGCGGUAAGACGGAGGGUGCAAGCGUUGCUCGGAAUCAUUGGGCGUAAAGGGUGCGUAGGUGGCUUUUUAAGUCUGACGUGAAAGCCCAGGGCUUAGCCUUGGAAGUGCGCCAGAAACUGGAAGGCUAGAGUGCCGGAGGGGAGAGUGGAAUUCCUGGUGUAGCGGUGAAAUGCGUAGAUAUCAGGAGGAAUACCGGUGGCGAAAGCGACUCUCUGGACGGUAACUGACGCUGAGGCACGAAAGCGUGGGGAGCAAACAGGAUUAGAUACCCUGGUAGUCCACGCUGUAAACGAUGGGCACUAGGUGUCGGGGGUAUCCACUCCCUCGGUGCCGCCGCUAACGCAUUAAGUGCCCCGCCUGGGAAAUACGGCC
Molecule: ribosomal RNA, 890 nt
Filed under: uncultured bacterium
Lineage: Bacteria
Description: bacterial SSU rRNA
Rfam family: Bacterial small subunit ribosomal RNA
Source: RNAcentral